AGAGAUGUGUGAUGACGCAUAUCAAUAAGCGGAGGAAAAGAAACUAACAAGGAUUCCCCUAGUAACGGCGAGUGAAGCGGGAAGAGCUCAAAUUUGAAAUCUUCAAGGUUCUACCUUGACGAAUUGUAGUUUAUAGAAGUGUUUUCUGUUAGUAGGAGUGGCAAAAGUUCUUUGGAAUAGGACAUCAUAGAGGGUGAGAAUCCCGUAUUUGGUCAUUCCUCCUAGCGUUGUGAUACACUUUCAACGAGUCGGAUUGUUUGGGAAUGCAGUCCAAAAUGGGUGGUAAAUUUCAUCUAAAGCUAAAUAUUGGCGAGAGACCGAUAGCGAACAAGUACCGUGAGGGAAAGAUGAAAAGAACUUUGAAAAGAGAGUUAAACAGUACGUGAAAUUGUCAAAAGGGAAGCGUUUGACACCAGUGUUGUUUUUUCCGAAAAUCAAUUACGAAUGUUUUAUUUUUGAGAAGUUAUGACUUCAUCGGCUUGCUUCUCUCUUUAUGAAACUUUCUUAAUGCACUUUUCGGUUAACAAGUCAACAUCAAUUUCUUUUGUUGUAAAAGGGUAUGAGGAAGGUGGCUUUCUUUUCGGAGAAAGUGUUUAUAGCCUUGUACCUCUGCAAUCGGAGAGAUUGAGGUCUGCAGCGUAGAUCCUUCGGGGUUAGAUACAUUUGUGCUAAGUUAUAGCUUUUCAUAGACAACUUGUUGACUAUGUUAAGUCUUGUAGCUUACUCGCUUAUGCUAUUUUACCUACGCUUAGGAUGUUGAGUAGCGACAUACACAC
Molecule: ribosomal RNA, 776 nt
Filed under: uncultured Neocallimastigales
Lineage: Eukaryota; Fungi; Neocallimastigomycota; Neocallimastigomycetes; Neocallimastigales
Description: partial large subunit ribosomal RNA
Rfam family: Eukaryotic large subunit ribosomal RNA
Source: RNAcentral